Long non-coding RNA from Mauremys reevesii (Reeves's turtle), 357 nucleotides. RefSeq lists it as uncharacterized. The record is from RefSeq and is a predicted model, not a curated record. The transcript has 3 exons. NCBI's taxonomy places the organism in Eukaryota, Metazoa, Chordata, Testudines, Geoemydidae.
AUAAACUGUUCAGGAAGGACAGGCAGGGCAGAAAAGACAAGAAAAUGUUUCAAUCCUUGAAAAUUCUUAUGGGUUGGGAAAACCUGUUUUGAGCCAGCUUUAGCUGUAACAAAUACAUCCUCGGCUGAAGAGAUGUAGAAAAAGGACCACACUCACCAAAGGGAUACACAUAUAUUCCUGUGCACAGCCUGCAAACAACAAUUCAUUGUUGUCCAACAGUUAGUAAGGCCAGCUCCACCAGGAACAUCAGAAAAGCCACUGGAGAUAUGAGAAUCCUAAAACAUAAAGAACAGGGUUGGGAUUUUCGAAGCUGCCUGUGGGAUUUGGAUGAAUCUCCCUUACAAUUAACAGAAAAUC